GAUGAACGCUGGCGGCGUGCCUAAUACAUGCAAGUCGAGCGAACAGACGAGGAGCUUACUCCUCUGACGUUAGCGGCGGACGGGUGAGUAACACGUGGAUAACCUACCUAUAAGACUGGGAUAACUUCGGGAAACCGGAGCUAAUACCGGAUAACAUGUUGAACCGCAUGGUUCAACAGUGAAAGACGGUCUUGCUGUCACUUAUAGAUGGAUCCGCGUCGCAUUAGCUAGUUGGUAAGGUAACGGCUUACCAAGGCAACGAUGCGUAGCCGACCUGAGAGGGCGAUCGGCCGCACUGGAACUGAGACACGGUCCAGACUCCUACGGGAGGCAGCAGUAGGGAAUCUUCCGCAAUGGGCGAAAGCCUGACGGAGCAACGCCGCGUGAGUGAAGAAGGUCUUCGGAUCGUAAAACUCUGUUAUUAGGGAAGAACAAAUGUGUAAGUAACUAUGCACGUCUUGACGGUACCUAAUCAGAAAGCCACGGCUAACUACGUG
RNAcentral lists this ribosomal RNA (497 nucleotides) under uncultured bacterium. RNAcentral's name for it is "partial 16S ribosomal RNA". It matches the Rfam family "Bacterial small subunit ribosomal RNA", at positions 28 to 507 of the family's 1533-position model. The record is from RNAcentral.